RNAcentral lists this ribosomal RNA (274 nucleotides) under uncultured bacterium. RNAcentral's name for it is "partial 16S ribosomal RNA". It matches the Rfam family "Bacterial small subunit ribosomal RNA", at positions 523 to 796 of the family's 1533-position model. The record is from RNAcentral.
AUACGGAGGGUGCAAGCGUUGUUCGGAAUCACUGGGCGUAAAGGGCGCGCAGGCGGUUUGGUAAGUCAGAUGUGAAAGCCUACGGCUCAACCGUGGAAGUGCAUUUGAAACUGCCAGACUUGAGUACCAGAGGGGAAAGUGGAAUUCCCGGUGUAGAGGUGAAAUUCGUAGAUAUCGGGAGGAAUACCGGUGGCGAAGGCGACUUUCUGGCUGGAUACUGACGCUGAGGCGCGAAAGCGUGGGGAGCAAACAGGAUUAGAAACCCUAGUAGUCC